This 481-nucleotide ribosomal RNA is filed under the name uncultured bacterium. RNAcentral's name for it is "bacterial SSU rRNA". It matches the Rfam family "Bacterial small subunit ribosomal RNA", at positions 29 to 483 of the family's 1533-position model. The record is from RNAcentral.
UGUGGACGCUGGCGGCGUGCUUAACACAUGCAAGUCGAACGCGAAAGGGGAGCAAUCCCCGAGUAGAGUGGCGAACGGGUGAGUAAUGUGUGGAUAAUCUGCCUUUCAGAGGGGGAUAACCUGGCGAAAGCCGGGCUAAUACCGCGUAAUGUUGCAUUAUCUUUGGAUGAUGUGAUCAAAGGAUGGCCUCUGCUUGCAAGCCAUCGCUGAAAGAUGAGUCCACAUCCUAUCACGCUUGUUGGUGGGGUAAUGGCCCACCAAGGCGACGACGGGUAGCCGGCCUGAGAGGGUGUCCGGCCACACUGGAACUGAGACACGGUCCAGACUCCUACGGGAGGCAGCAGUGGGGAAUUUUCGCAAUGGGCGCAAGCCUGACGGAGCAACGCCGCGUGAGGGAUGAAGGCCCUAGCGGUCGUAAACCUCUGUCUAGCGGGACGAAAAUCAUCAGAGCAAAUAGUUCUGGUGAUUGACUGUACCGCGU